Molecule: ribosomal RNA, 397 nt
Filed under: uncultured marine cyanobacterium
Lineage: Bacteria; Bacillati; Cyanobacteriota
Description: bacterial SSU rRNA
Rfam family: Bacterial small subunit ribosomal RNA
Source: RNAcentral
GACGAACGCUGGCGGCGUGCUUAACACAUGCAAGUCGAACGAACCUUCGGGUUAGUGGCGGACGGGUGAGUAACGCGUGGGAAUCUGCCCUUAGGAGGGGGAUAACGGCUGGAAACGGCCGCUAAUACCCCAUAUGCCGAGAGGUGAAAUGAAUUUCGCCUGAGGAUGAGCCCGCGUCUGAUUAGCUUGUUGGUGAGGUAAUGGCUCACCAAGGCUUCGAUCAGUAGCUGGUCUGAGAGGAUGAUCAGCCACACUGGGACUGAGACACGGCCCAGACUCCUACGGGAGGCAGCAGUGGGGAAUUUUCCGCAAUGGGCGAAAGCCUGACGGAGCAACGCCGCGUGAGGGAUGAAGGCCUCUGGGCUGUAAACCUCUUUUCUCAAGGAAGAAGAUCUGA